This 828-nucleotide ribosomal RNA is filed under the name Marasmius venatifolius. Its description in RNAcentral is "Marasmius sp. JJSO-2015a partial large subunit ribosomal RNA". It matches the Rfam family "Eukaryotic large subunit ribosomal RNA", at positions 79 to 896 of the family's 3401-position model. The record is from RNAcentral. Lineage: Eukaryota; Fungi; Basidiomycota; Agaricomycetes; Agaricales; Marasmiaceae.
CCUAGUAACUGCGAGUGAAGAGGGAAAAGCUCAAAUUUAAAAUCUGGCAGCUUUGCUGUCCGAGUUGUAAUUUAGAGAAGUGUUACCCGCGCUGGACCGUGUAUAAGUCUCCUGGAAUGGAGCGUCAUAGAGGGUGAGAAUCCCGUCUUUGACACGGACUACCAGGGCAUUGUGGUGCGCUCUCGAAGAGUCGAGUUGUUUGGGAAUGCAGCUCUAAAUGGGUGGUAAAUUCCAUCUAAAGCUAAAUAUUGGCGAGAGACCGAUAGCGAACAAGUACCGUGAGGGAAAGAUGAAAAGAACUUUGGAAAGAGAGUUAAACAGUACGUGAAAUUGCUGAAAGGGAAACGCUUGAAGUCAGUCGCGUUGGCCAGGGAUCAGCCUUGCUUCUGUGAGGUGUACUUCCUGGUUGACGGGUCAGCAUCAGUUUCGACCACUGGAGAAAGGCUUGGGGAAUGUGGCACCUUUGGGUGUGUUAUAGCCUCUUGUUGUAUACAGUGGUUGGGACUGAGGAACUCAGCACGCCGCAAGGCCGGGUUUCGACCACGUUCGUGCUUAGGAUGCUGGCAAAAUGGCUUUAAGCGACCCGUCUUGAAACACGGACCAAGGAGUCUAACAUGCUUGCGAGUGUUUGGGUGGAAAACCCGAGCGCGCAAUGAAAGUGAAAGUUGGGAUCUCUGUCGUGGAGAGCACCGACGCCCGGACCUGAUGUUUACUGACGGAUCUGCGGUAGAGCACGUAUGUUGGGACCCGAAAGAUGGUGAACUAUGCCUGAAUAGGGCGAAGCCAGAGGAAACUCUGGUGGAGGCUCGUAGCGAUUCUGACGUGCAA